This 499-nucleotide ribosomal RNA is filed under the name uncultured bacterium. RNAcentral's name for it is "partial 16S ribosomal RNA". It matches the Rfam family "Bacterial small subunit ribosomal RNA", at positions 899 to 1397 of the family's 1533-position model. The record is from RNAcentral.
ACUCAAAUGAAUUGACGGGGACCCGCACAAGCAGUGGAGUAUGUGGUUUAAUUCGAAGCAACGCGAAGAACCUUACCAGGUCUUGACAUCGGAGUGAAAACACUAGAGAUAGUGACCCUCUUCGGAGCACUCCAGACAGGUGGUGCAUGGUUGUCGUCAGCUCGUGUCGUGAGAUGUUGGGUUAAGUCCCGCAACGAGCGCAACCCUUGAUCUUAGUUGCCAGCACAUAAUGGUGGGCUCUCUAAGAUGACUGCCGGUGACAAACCGGAGGAAGGUGGGGAUGACGUCAAAUCAUCAUGCCCCUUAUGACCUGGGCUACACACGUACUACAAUGGCCGGUACAACGGGGAGCGAAAUCGCGAGAUGGAGCCAAUCCUUAUAAGCCGGUCUCAGUUCGGAUUGCAGGCUGCAACUCGCCUGCAUGAAGUCGGAAUUGCUAGUAAUCGCGGAUCAGCAUGCCGCGGUGAAUACGUUCCCGGGUCUUGUACACACCGCCCGU